This 687-nucleotide ribosomal RNA is filed under the name uncultured Pseudomonadota bacterium. RNAcentral's name for it is "bacterial SSU rRNA". It matches the Rfam family "Bacterial small subunit ribosomal RNA", at positions 46 to 722 of the family's 1533-position model. Lineage: Bacteria; Pseudomonadati; Pseudomonadota. The record is from RNAcentral.
GCCUAACACAUGCAAGUCGAACGGUAACAGGAAGAAGCUUGCUUCUUUGCUGACGAGUGGCGGACGGGUGAGUAAUGUCUGGGAAACUGCCUGAUGGAGGGGGAUAACUACUGGAAACGGUAGCUAAUACCGCAUAACGUCGCAAGACCAAAGAGGGGGACCUUCGGGCCUCUUGCCAUCGGAUGUGCCCAGAUGGGAUUAGCUAGUAGGUGGGGUAACGGCUCACCUAGGCGACGAUCCCUAGCUGGUCUGAGAGGAUGACCAGCCACACUGGAACUGAGACACGGUCCAGACUCCUACGGGAGGCAGCAGUGGGGAAUAUUGCACAAUGGGCGCAAGCCUGAUGCAGCCAUGCCGCGUGUAUGAAGAAGGCCUUCGGGUUGUAAAGUACUUUCAGCGGGGAGGAAGGGAGUAAAGUUAAUACCUUUGCUCAUUGACGUUACCCGCAGAAGAAGCACCGGCUAACUCCGUGCCAGCAGCCGCGGUAAUACGGAGGGUGCAAGCGUUAAUCGGAAUUACUGGGCGUAAAGCGCACGCAGGCGGUUUGUUAAGUCAGAUGUGAAAUCCCCGGGCUCAACCUGGGAACUGCAUCUGAUACUGGCAAGCUUGAGUCUCGUAGAGGGGGGUAGAAUUCCAGGUGUAGCGGUGAAAUGCGUAGAGAUCUGGAGGAAUACCGGUGGCGAAGGC